Long non-coding RNA from Mizuhopecten yessoensis (Yesso scallop), 467 nucleotides. RefSeq lists it as uncharacterized. The transcript is spliced from 3 exons. NCBI's taxonomy places the organism in Eukaryota, Metazoa, Mollusca, Bivalvia, Pectinida, Pectinidae. The record is from RefSeq and is a predicted model, not a curated record.
UACCUACAGCGGGCCUCAGCACAGGUAGCGGUGCCUGUGCCGUGACGUGCACGUUUCCCUCUACUAACACGUGCACCUAAUCCAUUUUCCGCCACCCCUGGCCAGUUGGGACUCUGUCACUGGCUGCAGAGGUGAACAGACGGAGUCCUGCUGCUUUCCCCUACAGGGCUUCCUGACAUAAGAUGUCCCAACAACGGAAUCUUCAAAAAGGAAAGUUCUACGCCCUCAAGAUGGCGCAAUCCGGGACUUUUCUGUGAAGCUCUGGGUGAAGGGGCGGACAUGCAUCUCCCAUCAACUGGAUCGAAUGUAGUUGUGCUGGCAACAAAGAGGCCAACUCUACAUACAGUACAAGAGUCACAGGAUGAAGCUACUCUUGUACUUGAAGUUGAAGCUGAUCAUCUACAACUUUCAUUAUCACUGUCAAAGGAUGUGUUACCAUUAUUCGGAUUUAUACCCAAGGUGCUGGU